RNAcentral lists this ribosomal RNA (619 nucleotides) under uncultured Candidatus Korobacter sp. Its description in RNAcentral is "bacterial SSU rRNA". It matches the Rfam family "Bacterial small subunit ribosomal RNA", at positions 321 to 915 of the family's 1533-position model. The record is from RNAcentral. Lineage: Bacteria; Pseudomonadati; Acidobacteriota; Terriglobia; Terriglobales; Candidatus Korobacteraceae.
GAGAAAGUAAGUGACGACUGCAGAUGAACAACUAGGCAAACUUAAAGGAAUUGACGGACUCCUACGGGAGGCAGCAGUGGGGAAUUUUGCGCAAUGGGGGAAACCCUGACGCAGCAACGCCGCGUGGAGGAUGAAGUCCCUUGGGAUGUAAACUCCUUUCGAUCGGGACGAUUAUGACGGUACCGGAAGAAGAAGCACCGGCUAACUCUGUGCCAGCAGCCGCGGUAAUACAGAGGGUGCAAGCGUUGUUCGGAAUUAUUGGGCGUAAAGGGCGCGUAGGCGGUGCGGUAAGUCUGCAGUGAAAUCCUGGAGCUCAACUCCAGAACUGCCUUUGAUACUGGCGAGCUUGAGUUCGGGAGAGGUGAGUGGAACUGCGAGUGUAGAGGUGAAAUUCGUAGAUAUUCGGAAGAACACCAGUGGCGAAGGCGGCUAUCUGGACUGGUAUUGACGCUGAGGCGCGAAAGCGUGGGGAGCAAACAGGAUUAGAUACCCUGGUAGUCCACGCCGUAAACGAUGAGUGCUAGACGCUGGUAGGUUUACCUAUCGGUGUCGCAGCUAACGCAUUAAGCACUCCGCCUGGGGAGUACGGUCGCAAGGCUGAAACUUAAAGGAAUUGACG